AGCCUCUGGAGAGACUACCGAUUGCAUUAGGUUGCAAUAUUGGUGGCGCCGAAGGCGAAAGUAGGUGCGUCGAUGGACGCAUUCUGCGAAACGCUCAGGCAAAAGGACAGAGGAGAGGAU
This 120-nucleotide non-coding RNA is filed under the name Shewanella sp. MR-7. RNAcentral describes it as "gcvT element as predicted by Rfam". It matches the Rfam family "Glycine riboswitch aptamer". From Rfam's summary of the family: This family represents the bacterial glycine riboswitch. Lineage: Bacteria; Pseudomonadati; Pseudomonadota; Gammaproteobacteria; Alteromonadales; Shewanellaceae. The record is from RNAcentral.